GUGUGCGUGGCGUGCCUCAUCCCGCUCUUCCUCAUCCCCUUCGUCAACGCGCUCCCCUACCUCUUCGACCUCCUCCUCAGCAAGGUUUAUCGCAUGCUUGGAUGGGAAUACAGGAGGCCCGAGAGAGUCCCAGCUGCCUGCCCGUUCAAGCCUGCAGCAAACAAGACUGAAGGUGUGGGUGAAUCAAAACCAGUAGCAAAUCCUCAUGUUGCAAGUGCAAAUCCUCUGGUGGAACCCCAGAGUGCUACCACAGAAAUGAAGAAAGAUGAUUAG
Molecule: ribosomal RNA, 273 nt
Filed under: Triticum aestivum (bread wheat)
Lineage: Eukaryota; Viridiplantae; Streptophyta; Magnoliopsida; Poales; Poaceae
Description: partial small subunit ribosomal RNA
Source: RNAcentral